CCUACGGGCGGCAGCAGUGGGGAACAUUGGACAAUGGGCGAAAGCCUGAUCCAGCCAUGCCGCGUGUGUGAAGAAGGCCUUCGGGUUGUAAAGCACUUUCAGUGGGGAAGAAAGCCUUGGGGCUAAUACCCUCGAGGAAGGACAUCACCCACAGAAGAAGCACCGGCUAACUCCGUGCCAGCAGCCGCGGUAAUACGGAGGGUGCGAGCGUUAAUCGGAAUUACUGGGCGUAAAGCGCGCGUAGGCGGUCUGAUAAGCCGGUUGUGAAAGCCCCGGGCUCAACCUGGGAACGGCAUCCGGAACUGUCAGGCUAGAGUGCAGGAGAGGAAGGUAGAAUUCCCGGUGUAGCGGUGAAAUGCGUAGAGAUCGGGAGGAAUACCAGUGGCGAAGGCGGCCUUCUGGACUGACACUGACGCUGAGGUGCGAAAGCGUGGGUAGCAAACAGGAUUAGAUACCCUGUAGUC
Molecule: ribosomal RNA, 464 nt
Filed under: Vreelandella stevensii
Lineage: Bacteria; Pseudomonadati; Pseudomonadota; Gammaproteobacteria; Oceanospirillales; Halomonadaceae
Description: partial 16S ribosomal RNA
Rfam family: Bacterial small subunit ribosomal RNA
Source: RNAcentral